Molecule: transfer RNA, 74 nt
Filed under: Podarcis lilfordi (Lilford's wall lizard)
Lineage: Eukaryota; Metazoa; Chordata; Lepidosauria; Squamata; Lacertidae
Description: tRNA.Lys
Rfam family: tRNA (bases 9-66)
About the family: Transfer RNA (tRNA) molecules are approximately 80 nucleotides in length. Their secondary structure includes four short double-helical elements and three loops (D, anti-codon, and T loops).
Source: RNAcentral
GUCUGGGAUAGCUCACUUGGUAGAGCAGGGGACUCUUAAUCUCAGGGUUGUGGGUUCGAGCCCCAUGUUGGGCA